UUUUAUUCUAAGUUGCUUCAAAUCCUUUUCAGAAAGAGUUGCACAUUAAAAAAAAAAAAAAAUUAACAGUUCAAUUCUGAAAAGCCACCCAGAGCCCAAGCUGGCAGCAUUUGCUUUUGUAAUAGCCUGGGAGGGCCCCUAAAGUAGCCCUGUACUUUAUCUUUGCAAACACAUGUCAGCCAGGGCAGCGGUGCUCACCGGAGAUCUCAGGAGACAAGGGCAAAAAUCACCCGUCAUUUUCUACUGAAUGGGUGACUGGAGGACCAUUCAGGUUCCUAGGGACUGGGUCUUGGGGAAGGAUUAAUGUGAAGAGCCCUUGGAAAUCAGCAUUGCCCCUGCCUGCACGGCUAUUGUUCAGAGAGACAGCAGAGUUCCUGAUGUUAUUUCUUUUAAAACUGCUGUUUGCACAAGUAACAUCUAAAUGACAGGGAAUAACAGAAUAUUGAUUGUGCUCUGUGAGAGGAGACGAACCCCACCACGCGCUGGGGAGGCGUGAGGGAGCCAUGGAGCACAGCUACCACGCUAAGAGACCUACCAAGAGGAACGCCAGAGUGAGCAAACUCAUUAAAAAAUUUCCAAGUGGAGCUUGCUCAUUCAGUUGAUUUCAAGUGCCUUGCUGGACUUGAAAGAUGACCUUAGAAGAAUUCAGCGGGCAUCUGUGUGAAGCACAGAAGCUUCAUAAGAAAGAGGGCAGACCUAUUGUGUAAUGUCUAGUCAGAGAGGAGAGUCCAAGUCACAAGUUGUCUACCUGGAGCCAUCCUCAGUAUCACAGGGUGCAAUCAAAUAUCCUUCAAAGACAAAAAGGAAAGACUGCUGUCCUCAACUGUAGUCAGCCAAUGACAGUCCUCAGUCCAAGAGAAAUCCAAGUCAUGGACGGAAGAUAUAUCAGGAUUGCCUAGCCUCAUCAUUUCAACAAAUAGCCUCCAAAAGGAUGGAGCCAGAGGGUGAUAGGGACCUAGGCGUGAUUUGGUUUUGCAGGACAGUGGCAAUGAAGAACAAAAAGUAAUGUCUCUGCUCACAAAACAAAAAGCUCAUAUAGGCAGUGGUAUGCACCUUAAUCCCAGAACUCAAGAGGCAGAGACACACAGAGAACUUUGUGAGUUCAAGGGCAGUCUGGUCUACCUAGUGACUUCUAAGACAACCAAAGGAUACAUAGAAAGACACUGUCUCAAAUAACCUAACGAACAAAAACAACAACAACAAAAAAAACAGACAAAAAACAAAAACCAAAACAACAACAACAACAGAAAAAAAAUCUAACACAGUAGGACACAUGAUUAGAACAUCACAGCUUGCCCUUUUGGAAAGGGUAUUGGUUCUUUGGGAUGAGGUGUUGAAAAUGGCUUAUAAAUAUUAUUUCUCUCAAUUCUGGGUUCUGUUUGAGUUGUGUGAUCUUGGGCAAAUUUGCUUAAUAAAAUUUCCUUAGCUAUAAUAUGAGGAGACUGGCCUGUUCCACUCUUUUGUAAGGAUCAAAUGAGUUAACUACAUCUCAUACAGGGCUUGGCAUACAGAAAGUACGUAGGAAGUCACAGUCCUGACUAGCCAUACACCUACAACCUCGGAGACUUGGGGGGCUCCUUUUAAAUCUACGGGUCAUUUUCUAUGCCUUUCCCCCU
RNAcentral lists this long non-coding RNA (1616 nucleotides) under Mus musculus (house mouse). Its description in RNAcentral is "lincRNA-EC13". Lineage: Eukaryota; Metazoa; Chordata; Mammalia; Rodentia; Muridae. The record is from RNAcentral.